RNAcentral lists this unclassified non-coding RNA (395 nucleotides) under soil metagenome. RNAcentral describes it as "partial contains 5.8S ribosomal RNA, internal transcribed spacer 2, and large subunit ribosomal RNA". The stretch from base 1 to 122 matches the Rfam family "5.8S ribosomal RNA", at positions 35 to 154 of the family's 154-position model. The record is from RNAcentral.
GAUGAAGAACGUAGUGAAAUGCGAUACUUGGUGUGAAUUGCAGAAUCCCGUGAACCAUCGAGUCUUUGAACGCAAGUUGCGCCCGAAGCCAUCAGGUUGAGGGCACGUCUGCCUGGGCGUCACAUAUCGUUGCCCAAUGCCUAUUGCAGUGCAAUAGGAAUUUCUAGGGCGAAUGAUGGCUUCCCGUGAGCGUUGUUGCCUCGCGGUUGGUUGAAAAUCGAGUCCUUGGUAGGGUGUGCCAUGGUAGAUGGUGGUCGAGUUAGAACGAUACCGAUCAUGUGCAUGCUCCCCAAAAUAUGGCCUCUAUGACCCACACGCGUCUUUUGACGCUCAUGACGAGACCUCAGGUCAGGCGGGGCUACCAGCUGAAUUUAAGCAUAUCAAUAAGCGGAGGA